GGAGUUUCCGGGGGUGUGUUUGGAGGAGUUUCUGGUGGUGUGGUUGGAGGUGUCUUUGGUGUGUUUGGAGGAGUUCCCGGUGGUGUGUUUGGAGGUGUUUCUGGUGGAGUAUUUGGAGGACUUUGUGGGGGGGUGUUUGGUGGAGUUUCUGGUGGUGUGAUUGGAGGAGUUUCUGGUGGUGUGGUUGGAGGUGUCUCCGGUGGUGUGUUUGGAGGAGUUCCUGGUGGUGUGUUUGGAAGUGUCUCUGGUGGUGUGUUUGGAGGAGUUCCCGGUGGUGUGUUUGGAGGUGUUUCUGGUGGAGUAUUUGGAGGACUUUGUGGGGGGGUGUUUGGUGGAGUUUCUGGUGGUGUGAUUGGAGGAGUUUCUGGUGGUGUUGUUGGAGGUGUCUCCGGUGGUGUGUUUGGAGGAGUUCCUGGUGGUGUGUUUGGAAGUGUCUCCGGUGGUGUGUUUGGAGGAGUUCCCGGUGGUGUGUUUGGAGGUGUUUCUGGUGGAGUAUUUGGAGGACUUUGUGGGGGUGUGUUUGGUGGAAUUUCCGGUGGUGUGGUUGGAGAAGUUUCCGGUGGUGUGUUUGGAGAAGUUUCUGGUGGUGUGGUUGGAGGUGUCUCCGGUGGUGUGGUUGGAGGUGUCUCCGGUGGUGUGUUUGGAGGAGUUCCCGGUGGUGUGUUUGGAGGUAUUUCCGGUGGAGUGUUUGGAGGACUUUCUGGGGGCGUGUUUGGUGGAGUUUCUGGUGGUGUUGUUGGAGGUGUCUCCGGUGGCGUGUUUGGUGGAAGCGUUGGUGGAGUCUGUGGUGGUGUGUUAG
This 799-nucleotide long non-coding RNA is filed under the name Arabidopsis thaliana (thale cress). Its description in RNAcentral is "long non-coding RNA (ATHA_LNC000288)". The record is from RNAcentral. Lineage: Eukaryota; Viridiplantae; Streptophyta; Magnoliopsida; Brassicales; Brassicaceae.